GGGUCCUGCCUGCCCAGUGACUUCAGUUAAACGGCCGCGGUAUCUUGACCGUGCGAAGGUAGCAUAAUCAUUUGUCUCCUAAAUAGAGACUAGCAUGAAUGGCAAGACGGAACUAACCUGUCUCCUUUCUCUUAAUCUGAAACUCACCUUCCCGUGAAGAGGCGGGAAUUAACUCGCUAGACGAGAAGACCCUGUCGAGCUAAAGCAGAAAACGAAACCACUUAACUCUUUAAUUUGCUAACUAAACAAAACUAAUUUUACUAAUUAAAGACCUCCGACCCUUCAUUCAAAGCUUUGGUUGGGGCAACCGCGUAGAAAAAUAAUCCUACGCUCUCAACUAUCCCAAAAGGGAUUGAACAAAAGAAAUAUAGCUCUUUUACUAUUUUUAAUAAGAACAAAUGAUCCACCAAGGUGAUCAAAAGAACAAGUUACCGCAGGGAUAACAGCGUAAUCUUCUUUGAGAGUCCAUAUUGACAAGAAGGUUUGCGACCUCGAUGUUGGAUCGGGACAUCCUAAGGGUGCAGAAGCUCUUAAAGGUUGGUCUGUUCGACCAUUAAAGUCCU
RNAcentral lists this ribosomal RNA (563 nucleotides) under Ctenocidaris perrieri. RNAcentral's name for it is "partial 16S ribosomal RNA". It matches the Rfam family "Bacterial large subunit ribosomal RNA", at positions 1850 to 2597 of the family's 2925-position model. Lineage: Eukaryota; Metazoa; Echinodermata; Echinoidea; Cidaroida; Cidaridae. The record is from RNAcentral.